This is a long non-coding RNA of Mytilus californianus (California mussel), 291 nucleotides long. RefSeq lists it as uncharacterized. The transcript has 3 exons. The record is from RefSeq and is a predicted model, not a curated record. Lineage: Eukaryota; Metazoa; Mollusca; Bivalvia; Mytilida; Mytilidae.
GACAAUAAUCUUUAUAAUGUUGUUAGUGUCUUCCAUAAAAAUGAACAGUAUUUGUCUUAUUAUACACAUUUAUAUAUAUAUAUGUUUCAGCAGUAUACUAUGUGUGAUUAAAGAAUGGCUUGCUAUCAAAGCGAUGGAGAUUAUUGUCUUAUGAAGAAUGAACACAGCAAAUCAAAAUGCAAAGACGUAAAUACCAUAGUGUUGUCGUUGUCAGAUGUUUAACUCAAUGAAACAAACUGCAAAGACGUAAUUUCAAUGCCAUAUUGUUGUCACCGUCAGAUAUUUGUGAGU